CCUACGGGUGGCAGCAGUAGGGAAUCUUUCACAAUGGGCGAAAGCCUGAUGGAGCAACGCCGCGUGCAGGAUGAAGGCCUUCGGGUUGUAAACUGCUUUUAUUAGCGAGAAAUAUGAUGGUAACUUAUGAAUAAGGAUCGGCUAACUACGUGCCAGCAGCCGCGGUCAUACGUAGGAUCCGAGCAUUAUCCGGAGUGACUGGGUGUAAAGAGUUGCGUAGGUGGCAUAAUAAGUAGCUAGUGAAAUUUGGGGGCUCAACCAUUCAGACUAUUAGCUAAACUGUUAAGCUCGAGAACGUUAGGGGUAACUGGAAUUUCUAGUGUAGGAGUGAAAUCCGUAGAUAUUAGAAGGAACACCAAUAGCGUAGGCAGGUUACUGGGACGGUUCUGACACUAAGGCACGAAAGCGUAGGGAGCAAACGGGAUUAGAUACCCGGGUAGUC
This 442-nucleotide ribosomal RNA is filed under the name uncultured bacterium. Its description in RNAcentral is "partial 16S ribosomal RNA". It matches the Rfam family "Bacterial small subunit ribosomal RNA", at positions 338 to 795 of the family's 1533-position model. The record is from RNAcentral.